Molecule: ribosomal RNA, 519 nt
Filed under: uncultured Gammaproteobacteria bacterium
Lineage: Bacteria; Pseudomonadati; Pseudomonadota; Gammaproteobacteria
Description: bacterial SSU rRNA
Rfam family: Bacterial small subunit ribosomal RNA
Source: RNAcentral
AGAGUUUGAUCAUGGCUCAGAUUGAACGCUGGCGGCAGGCCUAACACAUGCAAGUCGGGCGGAAACGAUGGAAGCUUGCUUCCAGGCGUCGAGCGGCGGACGGGUGAGUAACGCGUAGGAAUCUGCCUGGUAGUGGGGGAUAGCCCAGAGAAAUUUGGAUUAAUACCGCAUACGCACCAGCUCUUUCGGGAGCGGUGGAAAGCAGGGGACCUUUCGGGGCCUUGCGCUAUCAGAUGAGCCUGCGUCGGAUUAGCUGGUUGGUGGGGUAAAGGCCUACCAAGGCAACGAUCCGUAGCUGGUCUGAGAGGAUGAUCAGCCACACUGGGACUGAGACACGGCCCAGACUCCUACGGGAGGCAGCAGUGGGGAAUAUUGGACAAUGGGCGCAAGCCUGAUCCAGCCAUGCCGCGUGUGUGAAGAAGGCUCUAGGGUUGUAAAGCACUUUCAGCAAGGAGGAAAGGGGUUCCGUUAAUACCGGAAUCCUGUGACGUUACUUGCAGAANAAGCACCGGCUAACUC